This 129-nucleotide small nucleolar RNA is filed under the name Chinchilla lanigera (long-tailed chinchilla). Its description in RNAcentral is "Small nucleolar RNA SNORA11 (ENSCLAG00000020893.1)". It matches the Rfam family "Small nucleolar RNA SNORA11". From Rfam's summary of the family: U107 (SNORA11) is a member of the H/ACA class of snoRNAs that guide the sites of modification of uridines to pseudouridines. The record is from Rfam by way of RNAcentral. Lineage: Eukaryota; Metazoa; Chordata; Mammalia; Rodentia; Chinchillidae.
GGGGUGUCCUCAGAGCAGAUGGCCUGAAGAAUGACUUCUCUAUUUACAAUACACCCAACAGGAACUUAGGGUCAUUGUGACAAGGGACACAAAACUUGUGGCUUCCCUCUGAGCAAGUGUCCUAAACAU